Molecule: long non-coding RNA, 6761 nt
Filed under: Ananas comosus (pineapple)
Lineage: Eukaryota; Viridiplantae; Streptophyta; Magnoliopsida; Poales; Bromeliaceae
Description: long non-coding RNA (ACOM_LNC030654)
Source: RNAcentral
CUCUCUAGGCUUGCUCCAAUGGAGAGAAGAAGAUGAUGAGGAUGAUGAUGAUGAUGAUGAUCCUCUUCUUCUCCUCUAUCUUCUCCUUCUUUUCUUCUCUUUUCCUUUCUUUCUUUUCUUUCCUCUCUUCUUCCCCUUUGUUCCUCUUCCACGAUCGGAGAGAGAGAGAGCGACAGUGAGGGAGAGUGAGGGAGUGAGAGAGAGAGAGAGAGAGAACACCUCUCUAAUAAUCCCCUCUCAUUUGUAACAAAAUGCCAUUAAGUCCCUCAAUUUUUCAUCUCUUAACUAGCCCUCACUAGGCAUUCUGCGCGCGGAGGGACCGGUCUCCCCAACAUGGGACCGGUCCCAGAGGACCUUCCCCGAUUCCUCGCGUUCGGGAACCGGUCUCUCCUUGAGAGACCGGUCCGCCGGAGACCGGUCCGCCCACCAGAGACCGGUCCCCGAGAGCUCAUCUCGCGGGACUUAGCCAAUUUUUAGCUCUUCUCACUAGUGUCACCUGCGAGGACCGGUCCCCCUGCUGCCAAGGACCAGUUGCCUCAGCAACCCCGCAACCCUCAGCUAAUGGGACCGGUCUCUCCCUGCCAGAGACCGGUCCCCGAGAGCAAAACAAGACAAAAUGCAGAUUUGGCAUCUUUGCUCUCGCGGACUCCAUUCCAAUGCACUUUUUGGUUUUCGUGCAUCCAUAACUUUUCCAAAAUUUACCCACUCGACAAUUAGUCGAUUCUGGUCGAAGUGCAACUCUCGAAUUUCGAGAAUUCACAUUGUUACAUUCUCUCCUCCUUAAAAAGAGUUUCGUCCUCGAAACUCACUCAUUCAUAACUCCAAUUCACCCCUCAUUUCAACUCAUUAAUUAAUCGAGGGUUCCAAUGCACUUUCGCACUCCGGAGUGGCCUCUUCCUUAUCGGAAUCAUCCAAAGGCCCACUACGGGAGAUGUGAGACCAAAUUCACUCACAUUUGUCACAUGUAAGUCCAAAAGUGCAUUACCACCAUGCAAGGAACUGCUCUUGCAUUAUACACCCAAUCGAAAAAUUUUACUCCGAUUCGAUCACCAACAUUGCUUAAAACAAUGUCGUUGGUGCAUCGACCAAUCGCGAGUGCUCCAAUCCCAACCGGAUCCUUGCUCUAUCUCAAGAUGGCACACUCUGGCACAUCUCCAAUCUUAAUCCAUAAAAGAGCAUUAUCCAUGUGUCUCCUAGAGACCACUCUGUCACAACCGAUACUAAUCUGCUCAUCUCGGUUCACCACAAGGGGUCCAUAGACCACCAAUCUCACAAAGGCCCAUCGCCUAACCUGUCUCAAUACACGUAACAUCUCUCGCUCGCAAGCGCAGACCCAAUUAUCAUCAGGCGACAUUCUCAUUGGAGAAUUCGCACACACUCCAACCAGGAGCAACCAAGACCCCAAACCACAUCGAAUCCUCGGGUUGGGUCACCACACACACUGUGUGUCGUCAAUCUCAUGAUCCAACACGUGGCAUUCCACGCACUCGGGUCUAAACUCGGACUGCCGUCCUAACCAAAACUCUCCGCCCUACCUAUAGGUAUCGGGCUGCUGUCUUUCACAGCUGACUGCGCCUGCCCAAUGGGCCCAGGCUCCACAGUACACAACUGGUCCAGGCACGAGUUGUCCCCAAGCACUACUCGCCAACAUUGUCCUACACGACGUACUCUACAGAGCUGCACACUCUAUCAGCUCCUAGGCACCUAGUGCGAGCCGCCAGCCCUCACGAGUGAUCUAUGGCCCGCUUCACACUUAGCCUUGCUAAAGUGCUACUGCCAAUUCACUCGACCGGCUGAAUCGAAACCGCACUCUACGAGUAUCUAUACUCGAGCGCUCUACACCUCUACAGCGUCUCACACGAAGUCUAGCAUCAGGCAACUUAGUCUAUGCACACCGACCACACGAGCACAACUCGCCUACCUCAACUCGAGGUACUACUAGGCCCACAGGCCAAACUCGGCUCUAAUCGACCAAUUUCGCAACAGUGGUUCAUCUUCACUUUCGAUCUACCGAAUUCGCAUCCGAAAUACCCUUGGAAUAUUCGGGUGUCCCCAAACAUCAAGGCUCAACUCUCGCGAUCCACUAUCCAUUGCCUUGAGUGUCACUUCACUAUUUCGUGCUCGCCAUGAGUCCUUCCCUUGUUCAAGGAUCAUUACUAGCAUUUUGCUAGGGCCAUCGAGCUCUCAACCUGCUCCAGCAGAUGCCACAAUCUCACAAUGCAAACAUGCUUGGGUAUUUACACUUGCCCUUUAUUGGUCCUACUAUACUAAUGUAUAAAUAGUAGCAACUGACCACUCGUUAAUAUGCAUGCUAUGCAACAACUUGAUAUCAGGAAGCAGCACACGCUUGCUUAAUUAACUCAUACCUGCCAUGGCAUUAUUAGUAGUCGCAGGCUCCUCCACCUGGGUCGCGUAUCCACGGUCACUUGCUGCCCGCUGCGAACCCCUCGGUGGCAUCAUCUUCAACGUCCGCUCUUCCGACCAUGCCGCGGGUGGCACACCCGCAGGCUGUCCCGGAGAAGAAAAGGCCGUUGCCAGUGUCAAGGUCUGGUCAUACCCUUGCGGACACUCGUCCCGUACAUGGCCCGGCUGCCCACAACGAAGGCACCUGCCAUCGCGCAGCACACACCGCCGAGCCCAGUGGGAACCUCCACAAAUCACGCAUCCUGGGGAGGAUCGGUUAGAGGACGACUUCGAGUGACGCCUCGAACUUGAUUGUCCACCCGAAUCGCUCGACCGUGGCUUCAUCCCUCCCCGCUGACGCUCAGAAGACUCGUGCUUCUCACGCACGAAAGCAUCACCGUGCUCUGCCAACAACGCUCGGUCCACUACCUCCGCGAAGGUUGUGAGCCUAAGGAUUUGCACCCUCUCAUAAAUCUCCGGUCGAAGUCCACGUAGGAACCAAUCGGCCAUAUCCUCGUCAUCCCGUACCACAUCCGGGACACAGUUCACGAUACGAGAGAAUUCCUGUUCUUAUUCUCUCACUGAGCGGUCUCCUUGCCGCAGCUUCCUGAACCUGUCCUGAAGCUUUCUCUUUUCAGUAUCGGGGAAGUAAGUCGAAAACACCAAUCCCCGAAACUCCUCCCAAAUCAUAGGAGGGAGACUAGGCGAUCGAUUCCGUCGAAUGCCUUUCCACCACACUUUUGCCGAUAACUUCAAACAGUGCACGGCUAGGGGCACCUUGUCUCGCUCCAAGGUGUACAGUUCCUCGAAGAGCGUUUCCAUUGAGUCAAUCCACAUCUCCAUGAUCCAUGGAUCAACAUUCUCUCCGUCAAAGGUAGGCGGGUCAAACCUCUUGAAGGUCAUAAGGGCCGCCAAAGCUCGCUCUUUCUCCGCCUCUAAUUCCAUAGGACCAGGGGCCACCGCCCCCGAAUCCAUCGUGAUUCCUGUCGGCACAACGUGCGCUGCUACCGGUGCAGCCGCCGCAGCCUGUAGUGCCAACAACUCGUGGAGCUCCUUGAUCUGCUCCUCCUGCCGCAGUACUACGCCCAUGAGCGUACUCAUUUGCUCGCGGAGCACCAGGUCUCCGCUUGCCUCGGACUGCUCAGGGACAUCACCUAUCCCACCCCGCGUCGAUCUAGACGGACGUCGCCUACGCGGUGCCAUCUUUUCCUGAAACAGGGCAACUCGAUUAAUUCUCAACCCUCUAGGUCGAGAACGAAACGACUUAACAUUGACAUAAAUCGGGCGAAAGUCACACAAAGGCGUCUAUUCUCAUCACUCGGUUUCAUAUUGUCGCGCGCCAAACAUGAACACCCUCGGUUGAGAAUAACCACACCUCAAGUCUACCUCCAAUAUCCGUCAUAGAAGUUUCAACACAACCCAAUCAAUGAACCUUUCGCCAUAAGUCACAAGUCCUCGUCUCUCACGAGUCUUAUUCUCCUAUGGUUUGCUAUCCUAGGGUCUCCUAGGUCUGCCUAAACCAUUCCCAUUCUCUGCUUUAUGCUCUGAUACCACCUCUAUCUGUCACGACCCGCGACCACCCGCCUAUUUGGCCGAGGUCGCGACACCGCCAACAGACCGCCGAACGGACAGAGUUUUUCCUGUACGUCCUAGGCGUCGCAAUCAAAACAAUACAAGUGGUUCCGACCAGGAAUAGUAUUCAAUCACAGAUUGCAAAUGGAAAGGUAUCAACAACAUAACACAUCCUAUGGUAUUACAAACAUUCGCCAUAGUUUGCAUUUUACAUUACAUUCAACCUCCAAAUGCAAUUAAGUUAUUACAAUUAAUAUUACAAAUUUAAUACAUUGUGUUCCUUUUCCUUUCUUAUACCCCUAGGCUAUACCGACUCAGGGUACCGCUAUCUCUAGUCUCUGGGGUAGGGCGCUAUCUAUGGAGCUACGCCCUUGCCUCGCGCCGUCGCGCCGCUCACGUGCGAACCUGAAACACCCCAAAACAACGUGGGGUAAGAACCAACUCCAUGGUUCCCAGUGGGUACGGCCACCCAAGGGAAAAGCUCGACCGAUAAGUCCAAGGAGGCACUGCAAUCAUGUUAGUCCAAAAACAUCUACAGAUAUAUAUAUCGUAAUGUAAUUAUGCAACUAACAGAUAACAUGCCUCGGGAUAUGCAAUAUGAAUAUCAUGCAACUAUGCAACUGUAUAAACAACUAGUAGAUAUGUUGAUUCUACGUUCACUUUGCUAACUUUAGCUCAUUUCAUUCAAUUCUAAGGUUUCUAUUACCUUAGGUUCGCAACUCAAGUUCAACUUGCUUCUAAGGUCUCUAUUACCUUAGAUUCUUGCCUCGAUCACUAUCUUAUAAGGUUUACAUUAACCUAAUCAAGCUAACCACCCGACUCGGCCUCGAGUCAAUCAUCUGUGGAUAGUCCGCGCACUAGCUGCAACUCAGCCUGGCUGCCGUCGCAGCCUACCGAAAAUCUGACUUAACCAUCUGGCGGCGAACUCAUCGCAUAGAAUCCAACAACAACUCAAGUCAUGAUUUAGCCAUCUGGCGGCGAACUUAUCGCACCUCACCCAACAAUGGUUCCAGUAAUGACUUAGUCGUCUGGCUGUGACCACAUCGCUCUUACCCAACAAGGUUCAAGUCAAUCUAGGCGGUAUCAUCCGAUAAGCGAAUGGGCGAGGAGAACCACACAUACCCAAUUCCAGCUUCUUCUAAUGGCAUCUCGGGCGAGGAGAACCACACAUACCUGUUGAAUCAAUGCCAGGCGAGGAGAACCACACAUACCUGCAGUUAGGAUUCACUUGCCAUCUCUUUCACCACAAUUUCCACCGCUUUUUUUGCGGCUACAUCACUUGGGAUUCCGGAAUCCAUUUCACAACUCAAGGGUUGGUCUCAAACCCUAUAUUAUUGACCUAUCUAGGUCCAAUGUCCUGUUCACCCUAGGUCCAACUGACUCUAGGUUCAAUGCCUCUAUCACAUAACCUAGGUUUCUUUUAACUCUAGGUUCAAUCCAUAACCUAUGUUCACGACACUAGGUUAAUGCCACACACCUAGAUUUAGUUAACUCUAGGUUCAUUCUCAACCUAUAUUCUUUAACACUAGGUUAGAUGCCACUCGACCUAUGUUUAAAAACACUAGGUUCAUUAUCAUUCAUGUUUAACCUAUGUUUAAUACACUAGGUUAAGUGCCACUCGAUCUAUUCGACAUCCUAAUUGUCCACAUCAAGUUCAACAGAUAUCCACAUUUUAUCUAGCAUGCAUUAUAUGAUGCCAACAUGCAUAUUCCUUCUAACAUGAUCUACAACAUGUUAACAUUCAUGUUUUAGCUAGCAUAUUUGCAUUAUGUCAUUAACAUGCAUUCUUUACAAUAUGCUCACAUGCGUUAUUUAGCAUUAUUUACAUGCAUCAUCUACAUGCAUCAUCUAGCAUUUUUAUAACAUGCUCAUCGUGCAUUUUAUGGUAGUCAUAGCAUAGCAAUUAACAUGCAUUCACCUAGUAUUUAACCCUUGCAUUCAUCUACCAUUUAUAUGCAUCAAUAUGAAACUACGUUUCUCUUAGAUAUAAGGGCGACCUAGUCGCUUCGGUAAGCACAACCCACCUUAGCUAGCUUUCUGAUUGCUCGUCGACACUUGCAAUCGGCCUCCCGCGGCACUCGGCAACCGUUUGGGCCCAAUCUCACAGUCGCUCUCCAAGAGCGCGCCGCUUCGCCGUUUCAAGUGUUAAAGGUCUUCGCCUCGCCGUUACGGUGCUCGGGACCCGAUUUCAUGAUUUAUGGACGUCGCCUCGGCCUUCCAGGCGGAAACGAAGCUCCAAGCGUCCGUUUCUUUAAUAUCUUUACAACGGCUUGUCGGAUUGCCGAACCGACUUCGCCAACGUGUUUCGUUACCUAUCAAUUAGGUUUACAGAGGGUCAAAUGAGAUCAAACCCUCCCAAAUCACGAAAUUCCAUUUUGGAUGCCCUAGAUGCUAUUACUACCAAAUCCACCAAAUCGAUCCAUGAAAUGGGGAAAAACCAUCUAAAUAGCAUGCUAGGAUUCCCUUCAAACCAACCUUAGAGAUCAAAAACCUAUCUCUAAGGAUCUACCAUGAGAGAGCACCAAACUUACCUCUCUAGGCUUGCUCCAAUGGAGAGAAGAAGAUGAUGAGGAUGAUGAUGAUGAUGAUGAUCCUCUUCUUCUCCUCUAUCUUCUCCUUCUUUUCUUCUCUUUUCCUUUUUUUCUUUUCCUUCCUCUCUUCUUCCCCUUUUUUCCUCUUCCACGAUCGAAGAGAGAGAGAGCGACAGUGAGGGAGAGUGAGGGAGUGAGAGAGAGAGAGAGAGAGAGAGAGAACACCUCUCUAAUAAUCCCCUCUCAUUUGUAACA